AGUGAACGCUGGCGGUAGGCCUAACACAUGCAAGUCGAACGGCAGCACAGUAAGAGCUUGCUCUUACGGGUGGCGAGUGGCGGACGGGUGAGGAAUACAUCGGAAUCUACUUUUUCGUGGGGGAUAACGUAGGGAAACUUACGCUAAUACCGCAUACGACCUACGGGUGAAAGCAGGGGAUCUUCGGACCUUGCGCGAUUGAAUGAGCCGAUGUCGGAUUAGCUAGUUGGCGGGGUAAAGGCCCACCAAGGCGACGAUCCGUAGCUGGUCUGAGAGGAUGAUCAGCCACACUGGAACUGAGACACGGUCCAGACUCCUACGGGAGGCAGCAGUGGGGAAUAUUGGACAAUGGGCGCAAGCCUGAUCCAGCCAUACCGCGUGGGUGAAGAAGGCCUUCGGGUUGUAAAGCCCUUUUGUUGGGAAAGAAAGGCAGCAGGUUAAUACCCCGCUGUUCUGACGGGACCCAAAGAAUAAGCACCGGCUAACUUCGU
This 491-nucleotide ribosomal RNA is filed under the name uncultured bacterium. RNAcentral describes it as "partial 16S ribosomal RNA". It matches the Rfam family "Bacterial small subunit ribosomal RNA", at positions 29 to 506 of the family's 1533-position model. The record is from RNAcentral.